RNAcentral lists this ribosomal RNA (253 nucleotides) under uncultured bacterium. RNAcentral describes it as "partial 16S ribosomal RNA". It matches the Rfam family "Bacterial small subunit ribosomal RNA", at positions 524 to 776 of the family's 1533-position model. The record is from RNAcentral.
UACGUAGGGUCCGAGCGUUGUCCGGAAUUACUGGGCGUAAAGAGCUCGUAGGUGGUUUGUCGCGUUGUUCGUGAAAACUCACAGCUCAACUGUGGGCGUGCGGGCGAUACGGGCAGACUGGAGUACUGCAGGGGAGACUGGAAUUCUUGGUGUAGCGGUGAAAUGCGUAGAUAUCAAGAGGAACACCUGAGGUGAAGACGGGUUGCUGGGCCAACACUGACGCUGAGGCGCGAAAGCCAGGGGAGCAAACGGG